Molecule: long non-coding RNA, 225 nt
Organism: Lutra lutra (Eurasian river otter)
Lineage: Eukaryota; Metazoa; Chordata; Mammalia; Carnivora; Mustelidae
Exons: 3
Source: RefSeq, a predicted model, not a curated record
GAGAGACCGCGUUGAUCUGCUCAAGUAGAAUAUAGUUAAAACCAGGCACCCUUUGGCGAAGCUUUACCACAGUUACAGCGCGCGCCUGACGGCUGUCAUUCUGCAAGUGGGAACUUAAUGUCGGAGGAACAGGCGUUCCCAAGCCCGCCUUCAUCGGAUGAUGGGUGCGCAGCGGUCGUUUGUCACCGUCGGUCGGAGUUUCACACUGGCAAAGGGGUUUUCUCC